Molecule: ribosomal RNA, 407 nt
Filed under: uncultured bacterium
Lineage: Bacteria
Description: partial 16S ribosomal RNA
Rfam family: Bacterial small subunit ribosomal RNA
Source: RNAcentral
AUUGAACGCUGGCGGCAGGCCUAACACAUGCAAGUCGAGCGGAACGGCGGACGGGGGAGUAAUGCCUAGGAAUCUGCCUGUGGGUAGGGGAUACCGUCCGGAAAGGGGCGCUAAUACCGCAUACUAGCAGAUGAGUCUAGGUCGGAUUAGCUGGUUGGUGGGGUAAAGGCUUACCAAGGCGACGAUCCGUAACUGGUCUGAGAGGAUGAUCAGUCACACUGGAACUGAGACACGGUCCAGACUCCUACGGGAGGCAGCAGUGGGGAAUAUUGGACAAUGGGCGAAAGCCUGAUCCAGCCAUGCCGCGUGUGUGAAGAAGGUCUUCGGAUUGUAAAGCACUUUAAGUUGGGAGGCGUUACCAACAGAAUAAGCACCGGCUAACUUCGUGCCAGCAGCCGCGGUAAUAC